This 496-nucleotide ribosomal RNA is filed under the name uncultured bacterium. RNAcentral's name for it is "partial 16S ribosomal RNA". It matches the Rfam family "Bacterial small subunit ribosomal RNA", at positions 28 to 506 of the family's 1533-position model. The record is from RNAcentral.
GAUGAACGCUGGCGGCGUGCCUAAUACAUGCAAGUCGAGCGAACAGAUGAGGAGCUUGCUCCUCUGACGUUAGCGGCGGACGGGUGAGUAACACGUGGAUAACCUACCUAUAAGACUGGGAUAACUUCGGGAAACCGGAGCUAAUACCGGAUAAUAUAUUGAACCGCAUGGUUCAAUAGUGAAAGACGGUUUUGCUGUCACUUAUAGAUGGAUCCGCGCCGCAUUAGCUAGUUGGUAAGGUAACGGCUUACCAAGGCGACGAUGCGUAGCCGACCUGAGAGGGUGAUCGGCCACACUGGAACUGAGACACGGUCCAGACUCCUACGGGAGGCAGCAGUAGGGAAUCUGCCGCAAUGGGCGAAAGCCUGACGGAGCAACGCCGCGUGAGUGAUGAAGGUCUUCGGAUCGUAAAACUCUGUUAUUAGGGAAGAACAAAUGUGUAAGUAACUAUGCACGUCUUGACGGUACCUAAUCAGAAAGCCACGGCUAACUACGU